Megalobrama amblycephala (Wuchang bream) is the source of this 2869-nucleotide RNA transcript. It is a transcript of the gene named RNA binding motif protein 41, with no coding region annotated. The transcript has 7 exons. The record is from RefSeq and is a predicted model, not a curated record. NCBI's taxonomy places the organism in Eukaryota, Metazoa, Chordata, Actinopteri, Cypriniformes, Xenocyprididae.
UUAUUUGCUUUAUUAUUAUUAUUAUUAUUACACUAGUUAUUCUCACACAAUUUAAAUGGUUUCCUUGCUAAAUGAUCCUUAGCAUAAAAAAAAUCAGUUCCUCAUUUAUAUUUUUCUCAUUUUUAUAAUUUUUAUAUUUUUGUUUUCUGACUGUUAAUGGAUAUAAUUAUUAAUAAUAAUCGGCGCUCCAAUACGUAUUUCUUUGCAGAGGAUAAAGGAGUCUAGUUUCUUGGUUCUCAACUACAUUUCCCAUAAUCCUUUCAACCUACACUUCCUGUAAUACCCGGAAGUCUCCUUACAACGGGAAACAUGAAACGGGUUACACGAGAUGCCUGUGAUGAUGUGCCCAUCCCUGAAGAACAGCAGACAGAGGGCCAGAGACAACUACACAAUCUGCUGCUACAGCAACUGGAUACAGAUGUAAACAUCGACCGGUGUGUCGCUAAGAAGAAAUGCUUUGCUCCAGCAGCAGUAUACAAGCCUUUUGGGGAACAGGCAGCAGGUGUGAGGAGUCUGUCCCAGUUCCAGGCCUUGCAGGACGGCGAUCAGGAACUGGCCGCUUUAAGAGAGUUGGGCCUUACAGAUGCUGAAAUAGAGCUGUGGAGAUGCAGGGACCAGCUGGAGAGCUCUUGGAAGGAAAGAGGGGUUUGUGUGGAACCAGAGGCAAGGAAUGAGCGCCUGCAGGCCAUCCGGGAUAAAAUGGUGGCACAUGCAGAGCUGCUGUCCCGGCCUCAGCGUUUCUCGAGCAGUCGGCCACUUUCCCGUAGGGAGAUGGAAAUCGAAAAGGCUCUUUUCCACGGCAGUGACCGUUGCAGCUUCCUCACUGCCCUUUACCACCGAGGACGCGGAAUUAACAAAUAUAUCAGCACAUCACGAACACAUCUGCUUAAGGAUUCUGGUGUGAUAUGGAGGCCUCACAGUGUUGAUUCUGCUCGUAGCCUUCGUUCACAUUUUUGGACAUAUAUGGGCGAUUUGUAUGUGAACAACAAUCACAUUGAUGACAAACUCUACUGCAAACUCUGCUUUGAAGCAGAAAUGACAAAAGAACAUGGAAUGCUGUCAAAAGUGUACAGCUUGGGAGAAAAAACAUCAAGUGGAAACUUCCUUGCUCAUGCCAAAGCUGCACACAAAGAGAGUACAAUAUUUCUCAAAGAACAAUCAAGUAAACUGACUAACUGGAUCCAAACUGUGCCGAAAGGAAGCCCAGCUACUUCCCAGUUUGAUGUUAAUCGCGACAUCGUGUUGUGGCUGUGCCAGGACCUGCUCCCUUUUGAAUUAAUAGAAAAGGAAGGUUUUCAAGCAUUCAACAAGAAAAAUAUUCAUCUCAAUUUGCCAACCAGCAGAGCCCUUGCAACAACAGCCCUGGCAGAUGUCUACAUGGGUUUGAAGUCCAAAGUCAAAGAACAACUGGCAGACAUUGUCAGUGGUACUAUAAUGUUAGAUGGCUGGACUGAUGCUCAUCAUCGAUACCCAUAUGUUGGUGUGAGAAUCUGCACUGUAGAUGCGAACUGGAAUUUCCUUCUGUUUACACUUUGUGUUAAACCUGUAGAAAAUCACACAUCAGAAAACCUUACAGUGUUUGUAAGGCAAUUACUCGAAGAAUUCCUUCCCAAAGAUAAAAAUGUGUUGCUCUUUGACACAACAGAUGGGGCAGCGAAUAUGAUUAAGUUGUCCCGGUUACUGGGCCAUGAGAGAGUAACAUGCGUAGCACACUGUUUACACAACUUACUCAUAACAGACACUCUUACCAAAAUCCCUGAAGCACAAGCCUUAAUUUCCCAAUGCAAAGAUAUUGUCAGUGCACUGCACUUCAAGGCACAUCUAAUAGAGGAAUUUGUGUUGGAGCAGAAAGAGACAGACAUAUUUGCCAAGAUUCAAGACCUGCAGGAUGAAAUUGAUGCAGAUUCCAAUGAUCCUAUUGAUGAAAUGGAUGAUGCAGAGGAUUGGCAGCUGGGAACUAAGAAAUCAAAACAGGGCUCACAGACACACAAAACACUGAAGACCACAGUGCCAAUACGUUGGAACAGUAUCCUCAACAUGAUCAGAAGCUUAGUCAGUAUGGAGACAGAAGUCACUGAAAUCCUGAAGAGGAUAGGAAAACCCUUGUUAUGCCUCCUACCUGAUGACAUCAAACUACUUUGUAACUUAGUUAGCUUUUUGGAAGACUUUGAGAAAUUCACUCUCAUUAUAAGUGAAGUCAGUCCAAACCUAAGUGCCAUACCACUAAUCAGGGCUCUAAUCAAGAAAAUCUGUGCAGUGGCUCCCAGAGAUCCACUAAUGAUGAAGAGAGUCAAAGAACGAAUAGUGAAAAACAUGGACAAAUGAAUCCCCAUGUCAGAUCUGGUUAGAGCCACCGCAGUGUUUGAUCCAGCUGUCAGAGAUAUCACUAUGACGAAAGAUGAAAGCAGAGAGCUGCUGCAGAAUCUCCAUGAGAAACUGAACUCCUCCAGAUUCAGUUCAACAGUGUUUGGGGUUGGAGAUGAGAGGACAACUACUGAUGGUGGUUCUGGAGGUCCUUCUGGUGGGAAUGUGACCACGAUGGAGAUGUGGGAGGAAGUGCGAAAUGCCUGCGACUAGAAUUAUUAGCAGAGGCACAAGAAGAUGCAGAAGCUCAUUCUUCAAGUUCUAUCCUUGACCAAGAGAUAGAUGCUUUUCUGGCAGUGAGAACAAGAGACCAAGGAGCAUUGGACUUUUGGCGAACCCAUAGCAAUACUUUCCCCACACUGUCCGAAGAAGAGUCACUGGUCAGCCAGCAGGGGACGACAUCUGUCAUCACAAUGGACUAUUUCUAUAAAGACUUUCUUGAAGGCCAGAACAAAAAUUUUGCUAGUACUUCAGAGCGUUUUCCUCAAUCAGAAAUUGUCACAAA